Molecule: unclassified non-coding RNA, 1394 nt
Filed under: Hevea brasiliensis (rubber tree)
Lineage: Eukaryota; Viridiplantae; Streptophyta; Magnoliopsida; Malpighiales; Euphorbiaceae
Source: RNAcentral
UCCACCGCUACCUCCGAUCAGAUACAAGAAGAUUCAGGAUUUGUGUUUCUCAGAUCAAGAUUCUCCGUUUGGGGAAUCACGUUGAACAUAGAUAGAGUUCAUUGUUGAAGAAGUUUGUAAAAAGGAGGGUGGAAUUGGUGUUUUUUGGUGUGCGGGGUGGUUGGUGAUUAGAUCUCGAGACUGUUGAUAUAUGGUAGUUUUGAGGUGGAGAGAUUGAGAGGAGUUAAAUCUGUGAUUUUCGAGGAGGAGGGAGGAGGGAGGGUUUUAGGUGGUUGAGGGGUUUCAGGUCUCCAUGCUGUCAGAGAGCAUGCGUGCAAUUUGUGGUUUGGGUAAUGCCCUAUUCGAGAUUUGCUGUUGAUGCACUAGGUGUAAUUACUAUUAUACUUGUUUCGAUUUUGGUACUUGCUGGGUUGUUUUGUAUAUUGUAUUUGAUAUACUUUCAUACGAAGAUUCGUGGGCAAGGUUACAAUCAGCUUGGCUAUUUUCAUGGUCCUUGGAUUAUCCGGAUUGUAUUUAUAUUGUUUGCAAUUUGGUGGGGAUUUGGAGAGGUUGUUCGGCUUAACUUGAUUAGAGGGGAAGGAAGAUUGUUGAGUGCUUUUGGUUUCAGAUGGCAGGAAACUGUUUGCAAGUGUUAUAUUGUUUCGAGCUUAGGUUUUGCAGAACCUUGCCUGUAUCUAACCGUUGUGUUUCUCCUUCGGGCAUCCUUACAAAAGUCAGGAACUUUAAGCCAGAAAUGGAAUGGCAAAACAGUCGGAUACAUACUUCUUUUUUGCCUCCCAGUUUUUGCUCUACAGCUCGUGCUUAUUUUGGCUGGACCACAACUUGAGAAGAAUAGCUUGAAACACUUGCCAGAGUAUUUCACUAGUCCAGUCAAACAAUCUGAAGAUGAUGUUGCCCUGUGCACUUACCCUUUGUUGAGUACUUUCUGCCAUGGUCUUUUUGCCAUCAUGCUAACUUCAUAUUUGUUCUGGCUUGGUGGAAGAAUCCUGCAUUUCGUUAUCAAUAGGAGUCUGCAGAAGAGAGUAUACAUGCUAGUGUUGUCAGUUUCAGCUUUCUUUCCUAUAAGGGUUCUAUUGCUUGGUUUAACUGUUAGAACACUGCCAGAACAUUUACCUUUUCAAGCUCUUGCAUUUGUGGGUUUUGUUUCCUUCUUUUUUUGUAUUGGGAUGGGCAUGUUCAUGCUCAUUGUCAUGCCCAUGCGGGAUUGUUUAGCACUGAAGAAGAGCUCAGAGAGGGAUAUAGAGUCUAGGAGAAGGUUAAGUGAUGAACAAAAUGAUAUGGUUUCUCUAAUUGCUAACCAAAGCACCCUCGGAGGAAGUAUGGUGAGCAGUCCUGGGAGAAAUUCAGGUGCCUCAACAAAGAGAGGAUCCAUCUCCUUUCGAACAACGGACAAG